Molecule: ribosomal RNA, 492 nt
Filed under: uncultured bacterium
Lineage: Bacteria
Description: partial 16S ribosomal RNA
Rfam family: Bacterial small subunit ribosomal RNA
Source: RNAcentral
AGUGAACGCUGGCGGUAGGCCUAACACAUGCAAGUCGAACGGCAGCACAGUAAGAGCUUGCUCUUACGGGUGGCGAGUGGCGGACGGGUGAGGAAUACAUCGGAAUCUACUUUUUCGUGGGGGAUAACGUAGGGAAACUUACGCUAAUACCGCAUACGACCUACGGGUGAAAGCAGGGGAUCUUCGGACCUUGCGCGAUUGAAUGAGCCGAUGUCGGAUUAGCUAGUUGGCGGGGUAAAGGCCCACCAAGGCGACGAUCCGUAGCUGGUCUGAGAGGAUAAUCAGCCACACUGGAACUGAGACACGGUCCAGACUCCUACGGGAGGCAGCAGUGGGGAAUAUUGGACAAAGGGCGCAAGCCUGAUCCAGCCAUACCGCGUGGGUGAAGAAGGCCUUCGGGUUGUAAAGCCCUUUUGUUGGGAAAGAAAAGCAGCAGGUUAAUACCCCGCUGUUCUGACGGUACCCAAAGAAUAAGCACCGGCUAACUUCGUG